CACUUCCACUUACCACUUACACUUACCACAAGCACUACCACCACCACCACCACUUCCACUUACCACUUCCACUUACCACUUCCACUUACCACUUCCACUUACCACUUCCACUUACCACUUCCACUUACCACUUCCACUUACCACUUCCACUUACCACUUCCACUUACCACUUCCAUUACUACCACGACUACCACUAACCAUCACCACUUUCAUCUCCAUUCUUGUCAUUAUUGGCUUGUUGUACGUUGUUCAAAUGUUUCAACGUAUGUACAUUUGUGACUACGAUUUCUUGUUAGCGAUAUAAACGAAGAGGAUAAAGACUUUGGAGUAAAUAAUUUUGGCCGUGCCACUAGCAUAAUGUAUUUGUGCGUCUAGGUAUCCUUAGCGUUGCAAGUGGAAAGUGGCUUCACACUAUAAAUGGUUGACACAGCUAAUACAUUAGACAUAAACUUUCUCAGCAUUCACGAACAGUAAAAAUACUAUUGGUAAAUGAUUCAUGGAUAUAUAGUAUUAGUAUUUGGCAUUCGUUUCGCUUAUGAAUUGUGAUUGAACCGAUAUCGUAUCAUCAUUAAAAGUUUCCUGUACAUCUUCUACAUCAUUCAAACAUGUGGAAGAAUCAUAAAUUUCACAAAAAUAAUGUCUCAAUCGCAUACGUAUUGUCUGCUCUGACUUGGCUUGUCUUCUGUAUGUGAUCCAAAUAGACGAGAAUGUCAAUCCAUCAUGUACGACCAAUCACACUUCCUAUAGCUGAAACCGAGUGCAAAUGCUUUUGUAGCAAUCAUGAUCUGUGCCUUUCCAAGUUAGGGGUUCCAAGACUCGUCAAAGUGAAUUUUUCAUUCUUCUUCAUUUAAAUCUCUCGUGUAAAUGGUUAUCAAGAUGUGAUGAGAGAACAAGUCAGGGUGGUCGAAAAGGAUGCUUAAUUAAUGUACGGUGAACGUUUCAUGUUUAUUCAUUGAAUCACCUUUCCAAAGUCUAUUAUUUUGUUUUUAUCAACAUUCGAAAAUUCAAGGGAAAGCUUAAAUCUCUUCUAAGAAUACAUGCAGAAACAAGAAAAAUGGUUUCCCGCCCAGUGGAUGCUUCUGUGAAUACACAAAAGUUUUGUAUGAAAGGUUAAAGCGGUUGUUUGGCACUGAAUGUAACUACCAAGGAAAAAGUAAUGCUAAGCAAAUUUAAUGAUGCAUAUAUAAUUGGGACAAUUGCAACAUUUGCAAUGUUUUGCCAAAGCGAAAUUGUAUCUUUCGUUUGCGUAUAAGGAAUGUGCCUCGUCAAAUUAUCAUCCAUCCCAGCUGAACAAAUACUGUCAAAGAUUUCAAAAAAUACCGUGAAGCAUUUGCUUUAUUAACGAUGUUACUCAAUAAAAAGAUAUUCAUUUGUGGCAUAACAAGUUCUCAAUUCGAUUCCAAGUACAUGGAGAGCGUAUGUUGAAAUUAAUAAAUCUAAAAUGGUGAUUAAGGAAGGAUUACUGUGCAUCUUUGAAAGUCAUUCAAUUCCUUAAUUAAAAACGACCAAUAUGCUGCGGUUCACCCUUAACAUCAUGUUUUUAACCAACGACAUCAUGGGUAGUAAAAUAAGUAAAACCAUAUUCAUAUUCUUUCUUAAUUUUCUCAAUUUUGAUCGUAUUUCGUUUUUUUCCACAACACCAGAUAUUAAAAUCGAUAAAGAACUUUUUCCAUCCGCAGUUGGGAGUACAUCAUUCCUACUUCGAUAUACUUUUGAAAGAGAAAAGUGAACCGAUUGGAAUUGUUUCGACAACACGAAUUUUACUUCUAGGUCAUAUAUUUAUGGCGAUGCCAAACAACAAUAUUGUUGAGACAGUAAGUUAAGCAAAUGGCUAAAUAAAUCCAAGACUGUUGUUGAGUGCUGUGGAUCUCAAUAUUAUCAGUAUCUACUCUUCUCGAUGAUCCUGUAAAUUUUUGUUAUCUUUUUUUAUUUGCAGUUACUGAUAAUACUAGCAUUUUGCAUGCUUUUUUUUAUUUGGAUGUUCUUCCAAUUGAUCAAUACAGUAACUUUAGAACUAUCAUCGCUAUGCCUUUAAAUGACCGCACUAAAAGCAUGGUACCGAAGCACUGACAUAACAGAGAGGUUCAGAAAGGAAUUUAAAGAUUGACUUUUUCGAUAAACUUCAUGUUACAAGUCUUAUCGUUUGUGUUUAUAAAUCAUCAGCCUCUCUCUAUAUCUCUAUAUCUCUAUAUCUCUAUAUAUCAGAUAUAAAGAUGCGAGUUUUGAAGUAGACAUUCCGCACAAAGUCUAGUACACCAUGUCUCUUGUGCUCAGGCUGGUUGUCCUGCAAAAAUGUACAACAGGCAAAUGGAUGUUUCAUCAAAGAUGGACUCCUUUGCCUCAUACUUAUUGAUGGCGAAGCUAGAUCCGUUAUCAUCUUGAGAAAACACAUCGUUGUCUUCAGAGUAGUGAUAGUUCUUAUCGUUGUAGUUAUAGUUGUAGUUAUAGUUAUAGUUGUAGUUGUAAUAACUCUUUCAACAAGUCCUGAAUCUUGGCAAACAGACCCUCAUACAGUGCUGUCAGCUCACUCAAGUCCAAUCGCACCAUGUUAAUUAAACGCAUCUCCAAUGCACGGGUACAUAGAAUUACUUCGAGACUGAAACAAUACGGUGCUUGGGCUUAGUCCUUGUAGUGUAUUUUGCAUACAUACCCUUCUGUUCGAAUGAUAUCCCUAAUGACUUUGUGGGUUUCGUAAAGAACAUCAUAUAGAUUUCUUUGACCAAGUGUAAUAAAGCAAAACACACGGACAUAGUAUGGAUAUGGACACAGCAUGGAUAUGGACACAAGCAACACUACCAGUCGUUUGAAACGAUGAAAUGGGCAACAAGUCGAUUUGUUUUUCAUCUAUCAAUCGUUGUAAUUCACAUGCAGCUACAAGACGACACGUUAUAUUUAGGGUGCAAAGCAGGUAGAGAUUUCAUAGGCAUAUUUCGAAGUACCAGCUUUAUGCCAAAACAUGCAUGCAUGCAAGAAACUCCAUAACUUCGUUUGCGCAACUCCUGCUUAUCGUCUUCUUUCUAUACCCAUGCUGUUGGAUCAAUGAAUGAACGUAGCAAUAGAUACAAGAUAUAGCGCCACACUUUUGAGCAUAUCCUAAUGACAGUAAUUCGUUUUGUUCUAAGCGACCAAGUAUUCGCUUGCAACACUAUAGUUCUCACUUUGAGGAAACAUUCCUUUGAUGCCCAUGUUCAUUCCACUUGGAUGACAGAAUCCUCGAUAGUAUUAGUAUUAAUGAAUUAACUGUCAGGAUGUGUUGUCGUUCUUGAAGUAAGUCUUGUGAAAGAAACCACCGAGUUAAAAAUAGAGAUCUUGAUGGUUUUAUAUAUAAAAGUUUAAUGCUUGCCUAUUUAUACAUUUCCCAAGGACUGCUGAGGUAGAUGCGUUGUUCAGUUGACUAGGAUUUGUUUGAAUUCAAAGAUUAUCUAUUCAAGUCUUCUUUAUACGUUUGCAUGUGUUUGAUAAGAAUUCCAUUGAUUCAGAAAAAAAGUGCCAACAGUUUUUCCAACUUGACUGACACUACAACCUUCCAAUCAUAGCCAUACUACUAUGGUAUAAAAA
This 3558-nucleotide long non-coding RNA is filed under the name Schizosaccharomyces pombe (fission yeast). RNAcentral's name for it is "centromeric lncRNA". The record is from RNAcentral. Lineage: Eukaryota; Fungi; Ascomycota; Schizosaccharomycetes; Schizosaccharomycetales; Schizosaccharomycetaceae.